This 1148-nucleotide ribosomal RNA is filed under the name human gut metagenome. Its description in RNAcentral is "bacterial SSU rRNA". It matches the Rfam family "Bacterial small subunit ribosomal RNA", at positions 361 to 1520 of the family's 1533-position model. The record is from RNAcentral.
AUAUUGGUCAAUGGACGAGAGUCUGAACCAGCCAAGUCGCGUGAGGGAAGACUGCCCUAUGGGUUGUAAACCUCUUUUAUAAGGGAAGAAUAAGUUCUACGUGUAGAAUGAUGCCUGUACCUUAUGAAUAAGCAUCGGCUAACUCCGUGCCAGCAGCCGCGGUAAUACGGAGGAUGCGAGCGUUAUCCGGAUUUAUUGGGUUUAAAGGGUGCGUAGGCGGUUUAUUAAGUUAGUGGUUAAAUAUUUGAGCUAAACUCAAUUGUGCCAUUAAUACUGGUAAACUGGAGUACAGACGAGGUAGGCGGAAUAAGUUAAGUAGCGGUGAAAUGCAUAGAUAUAACUUAGAACUCCGAUAGCGAAGGCAGCUUACCAGACUGUAACUGACGCUGAUGCACGAGAGCGUGGGUAGCGAACAGGAUUAGAUACCCUGGUAGUCCACGCCGUAAACGAUGCUCACUGGUUCUGUGCGAUAUAUUGUACGGGAUUAAGCGAAAGUAUUAAGUGAGCCACCUGGGGAGUACGUCGGCAACGAUGAAACUCAAAGGAAUUGACGGGGGCCCGCACAAGCGGAGGAACAUGUGGUUUAAUUCGAUGAUACGCGAGGAACCUUACCUGGGUUUAAAUGGGAAAUGUCGUAUUUGGAAACAGAUAUUCUCUUCGGAGCGUUUUUCAAGGUGCUGCAUGGUUGUCGUCAGCUCGUGCCGUGAGGUGUCGGGUUAAGUCCCAUAACGAGCGCAACCCUUACCGUUAGUUGCUAGCAUGUAAUGAUGAGCACUCUAACGGGACUGCCACCGUAAGGUGAGAGGAAGGCGGGGAUGACGUCAAAUCAGCACGGCCCUUACACCCAGGGCUACACACGUGUUACAAUGGCCGGUACAGAGGGCCGCUACCAGGUGACUGGAUGCCAAUCUCAAAAGCCGGUCGUAGUUCGGAUUGGAGUCUGUAACCCGACUCCAUGAAGUUGGAUUCGCUAGUAAUCGCGCAUCAGCCAUGGCGCGGUGAAUACGUUCCCGGGCCUUGUACACACCGCCCGUCAAGCCAUGGAAGCCGGGGGUGCCUGAAGUCCGUAACCGCGAGGAUCGGCCUAGGGCAAAACUGGUAACUGGGGCUAAGUCGUAACAAGGUAGCCGUACCGGAAGGUGCGGCUG